This 497-nucleotide ribosomal RNA is filed under the name uncultured bacterium. RNAcentral's name for it is "partial 16S ribosomal RNA". It matches the Rfam family "Bacterial small subunit ribosomal RNA", at positions 28 to 507 of the family's 1533-position model. The record is from RNAcentral.
GACGAACGCUGGCGGCGUGCCUAAUACAUGCAAGUCGAACGCUGAAGAGAGGAGCUUGCUCUUCUUGGAUGAGUUGCGAACGGGUGAGUAACGCGUAGGUAACCUGCUUUGUAGCGGGGGAUAACUAUUGGAAACGAUAGCUAAUACCGCAUAACAAUGGAUGACACAUGUCGUUUAUUUGAAAGGGGCCAUUGCUCCACUACAAGAUGGAUCUGCGUUGUAUUAGGUAGUAGGUGAGGUAACGGCUCACCUAGGCGACGAUACAUAGUCGACCUGAGAGGGUGGUCGGCCAAACUUGGAAUGGGACAAGGCCCAGGAUCCUUCGGGAGGGAGCAGUAGGGAAACUUCGGCCAUUGGGGCAACCCUGGACGAGCAACGCCGGGGUAGGGAAGAAGGGUGUCGGAUCGGAAAGGUCUGUUGUAAGUCAAAAACGAGUGGGAGAGUGGAAAGUUCACGCUGUGACGGUAGCUUAACAGAAAGAAACGGCUAACUACGUG